UCCGAGUUGUCCCCGGCAGUCUCCCACGAGUCCCCGGCAUUAUCCGCUGGCAACAUAGGAUAAGGGUUGCGCUCGUUGCGGGACUUAACCCAACAUCUCACGACACGAGCUGACGACAGCCAUGCACCACCUGCACACCGGCCACAAGGGAAACCCCAUCUCUGAGGCGAUCCGGCGCAUGUCAAGCCCAGGUAAGGUUCUUCGCGUUGCAUCGAAUUAAACCACAUGCUCCACCGCUUGUGCAGGCCCCCGUCAAUUUCUUUGAGUUUUAACCUUGCGGCCGUACUCCCCAGGCGGAUGACUUAAUGCGUUAGCUGCGCCACCGAAAGCCUAAGGCCCCCGACAGCUAGUCAUCAUCGUUUACGGCGUGGACUAC
RNAcentral lists this unclassified non-coding RNA (376 nucleotides) under uncultured bacterium. RNAcentral's name for it is "contains 16S-23S intergenic spacer region". The record is from RNAcentral.